CUUUCCAGCUAUGACAAAGUUAAUCUCUAUUUGAUUAGAUACACUAUGUUAACGAUCUCUUGAAUGGACUAUGAGUGUUUCAUUUUGUUCUGUCUCAAACCCGAGUUACCAGAUUGGCUUCAAUCAGGGCUGGCCUAAACAACAUCCAAACUUAUUUUGUAGAUAUUCAUGUACAUAUCUUAUCUCUCCCAUUGAGCAUCCUCUCAACAAGAAAUAAGGAAACAGCCACCAGAAGAGGAGUCACCCUUUUCCAGCCAUCAUUGAGCCUCUGGCCAUAAGACUGGAGAAACCAAUCUAGAGACCAGAAAGUAGACACAUCAGAGAACUUUCAGAGUGUGGGGGAGAGCAAAUGGAGAACAGAGGUGCAGAGCAAGUUUCUAUUAGGAAGAAAUGCCAAGCACAAGAAUAGGGAGGGAGGGUAGGCAAGAUAGAGUGUAGAAAGCAAACCAUCUGAAGGUACUGGAAUCAGUGUGACAUCUGGCUCAGAGAGGCAGUCAAAGCUGUUUCCCCAUAUAAGGAAUCCUUGGAGCUGGUGUGAGGUUAUGGAUCAGAAGGUCCAUAAAAAGAGUUUUCCAUAGGAAAAGAAGAAUUGUCAUCAUCAUCAACAAAGAACACUGAUUAAAGCACCUACUAGGACAGAGAUGUCUCUUUAUUUCUGCUUUUUACAAAAUGAGAGUCAUCAUGUGGGUGAGAGCCCAGCCUGGUGCCCUGAUUUAUACAGCUAUCCCAGACCCUCAUUGGAUUCCCAGCCCAGAAGAGUGAGACAAGGUUAUCUAUCACAACCUGCAGCUCUCCCUGGGCUCAUUGGAAAGGAGGCAGGCAGGUAGAGAGGAAGGAAAUCCCAGGGGCUUCUGCCCAAAAGACACUACUUUCAAAACAUCUAAGGAUGCUGCUAUGGCACUGAUGGGAAGAUAAGACUACCUGACCACUAAAGGUAAUGAUGUGUGUGUGUGUGGGUGGGUGGUGGUGGCAAGGAAAUGAGACCUUUCCCAUUU
RNAcentral lists this long non-coding RNA (995 nucleotides) under Monodelphis domestica (gray short-tailed opossum). Its description in RNAcentral is "lncRNA (ENSMODG00000050992.1)". The record is from RNAcentral. Lineage: Eukaryota; Metazoa; Chordata; Mammalia; Didelphimorphia; Didelphidae.